This 913-nucleotide ribosomal RNA is filed under the name uncultured bacterium. RNAcentral describes it as "bacterial SSU rRNA". It matches the Rfam family "Bacterial small subunit ribosomal RNA", at positions 33 to 928 of the family's 1533-position model. The record is from RNAcentral.
ACGCUGGCGGCGUGCCUAAUACAUGCAAGUAGAACGCUGAAGAGAGGAGCUUGCUCUUCUUGGAUGAGUUGCGAACGGGUGAGUAACGCGUAGGUAACCUGCCUUGUAGCGGGGGAUAACUAUUGGAAACGAUAGCUAAUACCGCAUAACAAUGGAUGACACAUGUCAUUUAUUUGAAAGGGGCAAUUGCUCCACUACAAGAUGGACCUGCGUUGUAUUAGCUAGUAGGUGAGGUAACGGCUCACCUAGGCGACGACACAUAGCCGACCUGAGAGGGUGAUCGGCCACACUGGGACUGAGACACGGCCCAGACUCCUACGGGAGGCAGCAGUAGGGAAUCUUCGGCAAUGGGGGCAACCCUGACCGAGCAACGCCGCGUGAGUGAAGAAGGUUUUCGGAUCGUAAAGCUCUGUUGUAAGUCAAGAACGAGUGUGAGAGUGGAAAGUUCACACUGUGACGGUAGCUUACCAGAAAGGGACGGCUAACUACGUGCCAGCAGCCGCGGUAAUACGUAGGUCCCGAGCGUUGUCCGGAUUUAUUGGGCGUAAAGCGAGCGCAGGCGGUUUGAUAAGUCUGAAGUUAAAGGCUGUGGCUCAACCAUAGUUCGCUUUGGAAACUGUCAAACUUGAGUGCAGAAGGGGAGAGUGGAAUUCCAUGUGUAGCGGUGAAAUGCGUAGAUAUAUGGAGGAACACCGGUGGCGAAAGCGGCUCUCUGGUCUGUAACUGACGCUGAGGCUCGAAAGCGUGGGGAGCGAACAGGAUUAGAUACCCUGGUAGUCCACGCCGUAAACGAUGAGUGCUAGGUGUUGGAUCCUUUCCGGGAUUCAGUGCCGCAGCUAACGCAUUAAGCACUCCGCCUGGGGAGUACGACCGCAAGGUUGAAACUCAAAGGAAUUGACGGGGGCCCGCACAA